This 515-nucleotide ribosomal RNA is filed under the name uncultured archaeon. RNAcentral's name for it is "bacterial SSU rRNA". It matches the Rfam family "Archaeal small subunit ribosomal RNA", at positions 464 to 981 of the family's 1478-position model. The record is from RNAcentral.
AAAACAGUUACCAGCUCUCCGAGUGGUGUGGACGUUUAUUGGGCCUAAAGCAUCCGUAGCUGGCUGAACAAGUCCCCUGUUAAACCCACCGAUUUAAUCGUUGGUCUGCGGGGGAUACUGCUCGGCUAGGGGACGAGAGAGGCAGACGGUAUUCCCGGGGUAGGGGUGAAAUCCUAUAAUCCCGAGAAGACCACCAGUGGCGAAGGCUGUCUGCUAGAACGCGCCCGACGGUGAGGGAUGAAAGCUGGGGGAGCGAACCGGAUUAGAUACCCGGGUAGUCCCAGCUGUAAACGAUGCAGACUAGGUGUUUGGACGGCCACGUGCCGUUCUAGUGCCGCAGGGAAGCUGUUAAGUCUGCCGCCUGGGGAGUACGAUCGCAAGAUUGAAACUUAAAGGAAUUGGCGGGGGAGCACCACAAGGGGUGAAGCUUGCGGUUUAAUUGGAGUCAACGCCGGAAAUCUCACCGGGAGCGACAGCAGGGUGAAAGCCAGAUUAAAGGUCUUGCUAGACGAGCU